Molecule: long non-coding RNA, 693 nt
Organism: Felis catus (domestic cat)
Lineage: Eukaryota; Metazoa; Chordata; Mammalia; Carnivora; Felidae
Exons: 2
Source: RefSeq, a predicted model, not a curated record
AAAGCCCCUUGGAAAUGUUGGGCUGAUACCUUGCUUACAGAAUUCCUGCCAGGCUUACCAGACAACUCGAGGUAAACUUCAGAGAAAUUAUCACAAAACUCAUAUAUAGACCAUCUUUGUGCCUGGUGCUCGAUGGGCCAUUCCAAGGAUCGCCACGGACAUUUGAGUUACAAGCCAGAAAAACCCAUCGGAUUCCCGCUGCCUGGUCCCACUCCCUCUGAGAUGCCGCAAGCCUGACAUCUAAAAGUCUUCUCACUGGCAGCCGCUGGGUUUGUAACUUGCUCCAACCAUUCACCCAUAUUUUUCUUGUCUCUGUGAAAGUCCUUCUUAUUAAUUACCUGAUUGUUUCCUAAACAAAACGAAGCCUAGAUGAUGGUUAACACCACCUGUUGCCCAAUCAAGGCCUUAAAUGACUCUCAAAAUCACAUUAUAUUACCAAACACUAAAAUAACUCAAAUGCAUAGAACCGUUCUACAAAAUAGAAUGGCAUUAGAUGUUUUAGCUGCUGCACGAGGUGGAACUUGAGCUCUGAUAGAAACAGAACGCUGUGUAUACAUUCCAGAUGACCACGAAAAUAUUUUUGGAUUUCUAACUGCCAUGAAUACUCGAAUUGGCACUUUACGUGAUCUCUCUCUUUCCUUUAAUAAUCGGUUGAAUUCCUGAACUAAAGAAAGAUGUUUGUUGACUACCAGA